GACGAACGCUGGCGGCGUGCCUAAUACAUGCAAGUCGAGCGGAAAGGCCUCUUCGGAGGUACUCGAGCGGCGGACGGCUGAGUAACACGUGGGUAACCUACCUAUAAGACUGGGAUAACUCCGGGAAACCGGGGCUAAUACCGGAUAAUAUUUUGAACCGCAUGGUUCAAUAGUGAAAGACGGUUUCGGCUGUCACUUAUAGAUGGACCCGCGCCGUAUUAGCUAGUUGGUAAGGUAACGGCUUACCAAGGCGACGAUACGUAGCCGACCUGAGAGGGGGAUCGGCCACACUGGAACUGAGACACGGUCCAGACGCCGACGGGAGGCAGCAGUAGGGAAUCUUCCGCAAUGGGCGAAAGCCUGACGGAGCAACGCCGCGUGAGUGAUGAAGGUCUUCGGAUCGUAAAACUCUGUUGUUAGGGAAGAACAAAUUUGUUAGUAACUGAACAAGUCUUGACGGUACCUAACCAGAAAGCCACGGCUAACUACGUGCCAGCAGCCGCCGUAA
Molecule: ribosomal RNA, 508 nt
Filed under: uncultured bacterium
Lineage: Bacteria
Description: partial 16S ribosomal RNA
Rfam family: Bacterial small subunit ribosomal RNA
Source: RNAcentral